Molecule: ribosomal RNA, 408 nt
Filed under: Fusobacteriota bacterium
Lineage: Bacteria; Fusobacteriati; Fusobacteriota
Description: Fusobacteria bacterium partial 16S ribosomal RNA
Rfam family: Bacterial small subunit ribosomal RNA
Source: RNAcentral
UGGGGAAUAUUGCACAAUGGACGGAAGUCUGAUGCAGCAACGCCGCGUGCGGGAUGACGGCCUUCGGGUUGUAAACCGCUUUUUCUCAUGACGAAGUUUUUUGACGGUAGUGGGGGAAGAAGCACCGGCUAACUACGUGCCAGCAGCCGCGGUGAUACGUAGGGUGCGAGCGUUGUCCGGAAUUAUUGGGCGUAAAGAGCUUGUAGGCGGUUUGUCGCGUCGAUAGUGCAAACUCAGUGCUUAACGCUGAGCCUGCUGUUGAUACGUGCAGACUAGAGGAAGGUAGGGGAGAAUGGAAUUCCCGGUGGAGCGGUGGAAUGCGCAGAUAUCGGGAGGAACACCGGUGGCGAAGGCGGUUCUCUGGGCCUUUCCUGACGCUGAGAAGCGAAAGCGUGGGGAGCGAACAGG